CUGUGGUCAGCUCCUCUCAAAUGAAUUAGCCUGCCGGUGUUUGGUGGGAUCACAGGUGUGAUAACUAUCUACGCUUGUGGUUUUCCACCAGGUAACCCUCAGCAAUGGAGGUUCACCGGAGCUUAUAAAUGUCUCUCCCCAGCGAGGACAGAUUUUGACCGUUUGAUCUCAAAUCAGGUAGGACUACCCGCUGAACUUAA
Molecule: unclassified non-coding RNA, 200 nt
Filed under: soil metagenome
Description: partial contains internal transcribed spacer 2 and large subunit ribosomal RNA
Source: RNAcentral